ACUCUCACUGUCUCAGUAGUUGUACAACUUUUACGGUCGUCGUAAGCAAUAACGUCCUAAUGGCAAACCCGUAAUUGCAUUGGAAAUGAGAUAAGAGUGAACUAGCAGUGGGAAGGCGUUAUGACCGUGGGGACACGCCGCCGACGCCGGGACAUCUGCAUCUACGUGACGACGAGUGAGAGGCAGUAUCAGUAUGACAAUCUCAUACCAGGGUCAAGUCGCCACUAGCACGUUCGGAUGUUUCUGGAAGCUUCUGUUGAGGUGGCGGGGCAGCUUGUGGCGACUCAUAUGGAAAGAUCUCCUGCUUUUUGCCGUGAUGUAUGCUGUGAUUAGUAUAGUGUACAGGCGUGCGUUGGACGACAAUCAGAAACGGUGAGAGCCUGAUCGAAUAUAAUGUGCAUAUUUCGAACAUUAUAACUUCUACAUCGCACUUGAAUAUAUAACGUGACAAUCAGAAAUAGUAUGGGCCUGUUAGACUGCCAUAUUUUAGACAUUGCCACUGCUCCCCUUCUACGUGGUACUUGAGUAUAUCACACGACAAUCAGAAACGGUUAUACAAUAUUAUGUCCAUGUUUUUGACGUCACCACCGCCCUCAUGUCUUUGUCGCACUGAAAUCGACAUGACGCGAAAUGCGUCAGCAGUCGCCAGAUUUACUCAUACCAACCUUUUUCUAAAGUCGAUUUGCUACAGCUAAGUUAUAGCUUAUUGCUACAGCUAAGUUAUAGCUUAUGCUGCUUAUUGCUACAGCUAAGUUAGAGCCUAUUACUACAGCUAUGCUAAGGUUUACUACUCGCUAACCUAAGCUAUACCUUAUUGCUACAGGUAUUAAGCUAUACCUUUUUGCUACAGGUAUUAAGCUAUACCUUU
Long non-coding RNA from Priapulus caudatus, 868 nucleotides. RefSeq lists it as uncharacterized. NCBI's taxonomy places the organism in Eukaryota, Metazoa, Priapulida, Priapulimorpha, Priapulimorphida, Priapulidae. The record is from RefSeq and is a predicted model, not a curated record. The transcript has 3 exons.